Molecule: non-coding RNA, 69 nt
Organism: Podarcis lilfordi (Lilford's wall lizard)
Lineage: Eukaryota; Metazoa; Chordata; Lepidosauria; Squamata; Lacertidae
Source: the annotation of a GenBank genome assembly
GCUGUAACUCAGUGGCAGAGCAUCCGCUUCGCAUGCAGAAGGUUCCAAGUUCAAUCCCUAGCAUCACCA